UUUAUAGGAUUAAGAUGGGCAUGCGUGUCAUUAGUUAGUUGGCGAGGUAACGGCUCACCAAGACCACGAUGACUAGGGGAUCUGAGAGGAUGACCCCCCACACUGGUACUGAGACACGGACCAGACUCCUACGGGAGGCAGCAGUAAGGAAUAUUGGUCAAUGGAGGCAACUCUGAACCAGCCAUGCCGCGUGCAGGAAGACAGCCCUCUGGGUCGUAAACUGCUUUUAUUCGGGAAUAAACCACAUUACGUGUAGUGUGCUGAAUGUACCGAAGGAAUAAGGAUCGGCUAACUCCGUGCCAGCAGCCGCGGUAAUACGGAGGAUCCAAGCGUUAUCCGGAUUUAUUGGGUUUAAAGGGUGCGUAGGCGGCUUAUUAAGUCAGGGGUGAAAGACGGUGGCUCAACCAUCGCAGUGCCCUUGAUACUGAUGAGCUUGAAUACACUAGAGGUAGGCGGAAUGUGACAAGUAGCGGUGAAAUGCAUAGAUAUGUCACAGAACACCGAUUGCGAAGGCAGCUUACUAUGGUGUUAUUGACGCUGAGGCACGAAAGCGUGGGGAUCAAACAGGAUUAGAUACCCUGGUAGUCCACGCCCUAAACGAUGAAUACUCGCUGUUAGCGAUACACAGUUAGCGGCUAAGCGAAAGCGUUAAGUAUUCCACCUGGGGAGUACGCCCGCAAGGGUGAAACUCAAAGGAAUUGACGGGGGCCCGCACAAGCGGAGGAACAUGUGGUUUAAUUCGAUGAUACGCGAGGAACCUUACCCGGGCUUGAAAGUUAGUGAAUGAUCUAGAGAUAGAUCAGUGAGCAAUCACACGAAACUAGGUGCUGCAGGGCUGUCGUCAGCUCGUGCCCUGAGGUGUUUGGGUUAAGUCCCGCAACGAGCGCAACCCCUAUUUUUAUUUGCCAGCACGUUAAGGGGGGGGACUCUAAACAAAAUGGCCUGUGCCAACCAGA
RNAcentral lists this ribosomal RNA (956 nucleotides) under Pedobacter sp. RNAcentral's name for it is "bacterial SSU rRNA". It matches the Rfam family "Bacterial small subunit ribosomal RNA", at positions 211 to 1166 of the family's 1533-position model. Lineage: Bacteria; Pseudomonadati; Bacteroidota; Sphingobacteriia; Sphingobacteriales; Sphingobacteriaceae. The record is from RNAcentral.